Molecule: ribosomal RNA, 319 nt
Filed under: uncultured Pseudomonadota bacterium
Lineage: Bacteria; Pseudomonadati; Pseudomonadota
Description: bacterial SSU rRNA
Rfam family: Bacterial small subunit ribosomal RNA
Source: RNAcentral
AUUGAACGCUGGCGGUAUGCUUAACACAUGCAAGUCGAACGGUAGCAGGCCUUCGGGCGCUGACGAGUGGCGGACGGGUGAGUAACGCGUAGGAAUCUGCCUGGUAGUGGGGGACAACUUAGGGAAACUUAAGCUAAUACCGCAUACGCCCUACGGGGGAAAGCUGGGGACCUUCGGGCCUGGCGCUAAUAGAUGAGCCUAUGUUGGAUUAGCUAGUUGGUAGGGUAAAGGCCUACCAAGGCGACGAUCCAUAGCUGGUCUGAGAGGAUGAUCAGCCACACUGGGACUGAGACACGGCCCAGACUCCUACGGGAGGCAG